UUUCAGAUAAGCUUGCACAUUGCCCGGACUGACACCAAAGGCCGCAUUUUGCCCUAGAUGGCAUAGCCACGAGAAGCCUAUUCAGAUUCCCCGGACUGGCAUUCUCUUUACGUACGCAGAAACCUCAACUUCAUUCAUUAAUCGACAGAGCGAGAAAAUCACAAAGAAAAAAAAUACAAGGUGGGACCCACCGGAGAAAGAGCCUCAACUGGGGCCCACCACCCCAUCCUUCCUUUAAAUCCCCACCUCCAUCGGCGCCGCAGAGCUCCACAACCACAGCAUCACAACGGAACCCGUAGGAAACGCCCCCAAGACCCACCAUAAUUUCCGUCCUCCCCCCCCCCCCCCCCCCCCCCCCCCCCCCC
RNAcentral lists this long non-coding RNA (365 nucleotides) under Setaria viridis. Its description in RNAcentral is "long non-coding RNA (SVIR_LNC008457)". Lineage: Eukaryota; Viridiplantae; Streptophyta; Magnoliopsida; Poales; Poaceae. The record is from RNAcentral.